GUAUAUUCAGUGACACAUAUACCAAAAUUGGAAAAUACAGGGAAGACUAGCAGGACCCCUGCACAAGGAUGACAUGCAAGUUCAUGAAGCGUCCCACGUUUUU
Small nuclear RNA from Artibeus jamaicensis (Jamaican fruit-eating bat), 103 nucleotides. The record is from RefSeq and is a predicted model, not a curated record. Lineage: Eukaryota; Metazoa; Chordata; Mammalia; Chiroptera; Phyllostomidae.